Molecule: ribosomal RNA, 328 nt
Filed under: uncultured eukaryote
Lineage: Eukaryota
Description: partial 18S ribosomal RNA
Rfam family: Eukaryotic small subunit ribosomal RNA
Source: RNAcentral
CCCUUAGAUGUCCUGGGCCGCACGCGCGUUACACUGAUGCAUUCAACGAGCUUAUAACCUUGGCCGAGAGGCCUGGGCAAUCUUGCUAACGUGCAUCGUGAUAGGGAUAGAUUAUUGAAAUUAUUAAUCUUGAACGAGGAAUUCCUAGUAAACGCAGAUCAUCAAUCUGCGUUGAUUACGUCCCUGCCCUUUGUACACACCGCCCGUCGCACCUACCGAUUGGAUGGUCCGGUGAAGCCUCGGGAUUGUGGUUCUUGCCGCUUUAUUGUGGCGUGACCGCGAGAACUUGUCUAAACCUUAUCAUCUAGAGGAAGGUGAAGUCGUAACA